GGGCAAUGGCGGGCGCCCCUCCCCCAGCCUCGCUGCCGCCUUGCAGUUUGAUCUCAGACUGCUGUGCUAGCAAUCAGCGAGACUCCGUGGGCGUAGGACCCUCCGAGCCAGGUGUGGGAUUUAAUCUCGUGGUGCGCCGUUUUUUAAGCCGGUCGGAAAAGUGCAGUAUUCGGGUGGGAGUGAUCCGAUUUUCCAGGUGUGUCCGUCACCCCUUUCUUUGACUUGGAAAGGGAACUCCCUGACCCCUUGUGCUUCCCAAGUGAGGCAAUGCCUUGCCCUGCUUCGGCUCGCGCACGGUGCGGGCACCCACUGACCUGCGCCCACUGUCUGGCACUCCCUAGUGAGGUGAACCCGGUACCUCAGAUGGAAAUGCAGAAAUCACCCGUCUUCUGCGUCGCUCACGCUGGGAGCUGUAGACCGGAGCUGUUCCUAUUCGGCCAUCUUGGCUCCUCCAGAUCAGAUUUAUUUGGAGAAGACAAAAAACCCACAACCCAAAGGACGGGAUUUUACAUCUCAAGACAUCUCCCAGAAUGUCUCUCUGGCUUCCUCUCCCUCUCAGAGACCCAAUUUGGAACUGAAACCCUGAGUACAGCAAAACUGCAUUUCCCAAGCUCCUCUUCUCUCAAUGGGUCACAUGACUUGUUCUAGCCAAUAGAACGAGGGUGGAACUAAUGUGACCACUUUCAGGUGGCCCCUAAAGUCUCCUGUGAGAUCUUCCAAUCUUGCUCUCCUCACUCUGCAUGGCUGGAAAUGAAUACUCUGAUAUCUGAAACAACAUGAUGAAGGAGCCAGGAUGCCUAAGUUCACCACUU
This 812-nucleotide long non-coding RNA is filed under the name Pan troglodytes (chimpanzee). Its description in RNAcentral is "lincRNA". Lineage: Eukaryota; Metazoa; Chordata; Mammalia; Primates; Hominidae. The record is from RNAcentral.